Non-coding RNA from Paramisgurnus dabryanus, 1758 nucleotides. NCBI's taxonomy places the organism in Eukaryota, Metazoa, Chordata, Actinopteri, Cypriniformes, Cobitidae. The record is from RefSeq and is a predicted model, not a curated record.
UGUCAGAAAUAGGGGUACAGUAGGGGUCCAUUUCUGUCCCCCAAGGUACAAUCUACAUAAAAGUACCCCAAAGGGCCCAUUAUUGGACCUCAAAGUACAUGUAUGUACCUUUUUGAGGGUCAAAAAGGUACAUAUUUGUUCCCAAGCAUUAAAAGGUACAUUUUUGUACCAUUUCUUUUAAAGGAUAAGGUACAAUGCUAAAAGAUACAGCCUCUUGCCAUUUUUUUAUUUGUUGUUCAAGACAACUGCUGUAAAUCUGGUCAAUAAAGUAAGUAACCAUUGUGUCAAUUUUGUUUCCUUUAGUUGGGCACAUGGGUCUUGAAGUAGUGUUAGUUUUCUUCUGUUCAUUGACAAUGUGUUUAAUUUAAAAUUUUAUUUGAAAUUUUAAUGAAAAAAAGUUAAUUUCAAUUCAUAAAAACUGUGCUGUGAACUCAAAAACUGCAAUUGAUUAACCAUUACUUACAAACUAAAUAAAUACUGAAUAACUAAAUCCCUCACACACAAUGAAAAAAAACGCGCUUUUAUUUUGACACGCGCCCAUCCCCCCACAUCUCACGGUCUGACUGGAGUCGAGUUUCACAGAGCAACGCAACAGGAGGAUGACACAACAGUUACAAGAGCAUUAACAGUAAGGACUAACAUUAACUGACUGUCUGUCCUCAACCAAAGUCAUUCAAGACCUGUAAAAGUUUAGCACAAACGUUUCCCGCGCAAGUUUGAAUCUCUCUCAGUCAGGGGAGAUUGACUGACUGACUGACUGACUGUCUACACGCCACCAAACAGUAAUUUAUACAGAAACCUUUUAAAGCAAAGUCAUUCAAGACUUGUUAAAGUUUAGCACAAACGUUUCCCGCGCAAGUUUGAAUAUCUCUCAGUCAGGGGAGAUUGACUGACUGACUGACUGUCUACACGCCACCAAACAGUAAUUUAUACAGAAACCGUUUAAAGUAAGGACUAAGGUUAACUGACUGUCUGUCUGUCUGUCUGUCUGUCGGUUCUCAACCAAAGUCAUUAAAGACCUGUUAAAGUAAGGACUAACGUUAACUGACUGUCUGUCUGUCUGCUCUCAACCAAACAGUCAUUCAAGACCUUUCAAAGUUUAGCACAAAAGUUUCCAGCACAAGUUUGGAUCUUUACCAUUGAGGGUGGCUGACUGUUCUCGACCAACCAUCAUUCACACGCAAAAACUUUAAAGAUAAGUAUGAACGUGCCCAGAGCAGUUUUCGAUCUUUACCAUUAAGGAGGCUGACUGACUAUCCUCUACCACCCGUCAUUAACACAACAAAAACUAAAGAAAUGUUACUCCAUAUGGACCUAUUCAUUUACUCAUUAUGCUGUGAGUACACCACAGUUUUAUCAGUGAAAAAAUUUAUAUUUGUGUGUUUUCUCACUUCUUGGCAAGGACAGAUGUGGCCCUGUUAAAAAUGUUUAAAUGUUGUUUGGUUAAGGAACAGCACACUGAUUUUGUUUUAAAAUAUUCCUGUUUGGACAGUCUGUUAAAGUCAAAGGAAUACUUGAUAUAUUUCUAAGUAAAGUGUAAAUGAAAAAAUUAGUUUUUAAUGUUGUGACUGAACACAAUGUUGUGAAUGAUUUGGACUGAACAGCACACUUCUGUUUUAUAUCUGAACCUUUUGUAAAAUAAAUGAUUGUUCAUUAAACUCACUGUGUAUUUUAUCUUUUCUGUUAUCAUUUUUUUAUACUAAUGUUUAAAAUUUACCUUUACUCUAAACAAUUGGCUAAACCAACACAAAUACACUG